Molecule: transfer RNA, 85 nt
Organism: Felis catus (domestic cat)
Lineage: Eukaryota; Metazoa; Chordata; Mammalia; Carnivora; Felidae
Rfam family: tRNA
About the family: Transfer RNA (tRNA) molecules are approximately 80 nucleotides in length. Their secondary structure includes four short double-helical elements and three loops (D, anti-codon, and T loops).
Source: Rfam
ACCUGGGUGGCUCAGUCGGUUGAGCGUCCGACUUCGGCUCAGGUCAUGAUCUCACAGUUCGUGGGUUCGAGCCCCGCAUCAGGCU